GACGAACGCUGGCGGCGUGCUUAACACAUGCAAGUCGAACGAUGAAGCACCAGCUUGCUGGUGUGGAUUAGUGGCGAACGGGUGAGUAACACGUGAGUAACCUGCCCCUCACUCUGGGAUAAGCCUGGGAAACUGGGUCUAAUACUGGAUACGACCGAUCUCCGCAUGGAGUGUUGGUGGAAAGUUUUUGUGGUGGGGGAUGGACUCGCGGCCUAUCAGCUUGUUGGGGGGGUAAUGGCCUACCAAGGCGACGACGGGUAGCCGGCCUGAGCGGGCGACCGGCCACACUGGGACUGAGACACGGCCCAGACUACUGCGGGAGGCAGCAGUGGGGAAUAUUGCACAAUGGGCGAAAGCCUGAUGCAGCGACGCCGCGUGGGGGAUGACGGCCUUCGGGUUGUAAACCUCUUUCACCAGGGACGAAGCUAACGUGACGGUACCUGGAGAAGAAGCACCGGCUAACUACGUG
Molecule: ribosomal RNA, 469 nt
Filed under: uncultured bacterium
Lineage: Bacteria
Description: partial 16S ribosomal RNA
Rfam family: Bacterial small subunit ribosomal RNA
Source: RNAcentral